Regulatory RNA element from Lasius niger, 46 nucleotides. It matches the Rfam family "Histone 3' UTR stem-loop". From Rfam's summary of the family: The mRNAs of metazoan histone genes lack a poly-A tail. 3' end processing occurs at a site between a highly conserved stem-loop (modelled by this family) and a purine rich region around 20 nts downstream (the histone downstream element, or HDE). The stem-loop is bound by a 31 kDa stem-loop binding protein (SLBP - also termed the histone hairpin binding protein, or HBP). Lineage: Eukaryota; Metazoa; Arthropoda; Insecta; Hymenoptera; Formicidae. The record is from Rfam.
CAAUCGGCCCUUUUCAGGGCCACACAAAUAAGCCAAAAACAAACAU